Mesocricetus auratus (golden hamster) is the source of this 4418-nucleotide RNA transcript. It is a transcript of the gene named synaptotagmin 6, with no coding region annotated. The record is from RefSeq and is a predicted model, not a curated record. Lineage: Eukaryota; Metazoa; Chordata; Mammalia; Rodentia; Cricetidae. The transcript has 8 exons.
CUCCUUGGGGCCGCCUUGCCCCGCCCCAGUCCGGCCGUGGUGUGGGGUUCGAACCACUGCUCCUCAGACCUGAGUGUACGGGGCAUGAGCGGGGCUUGGGGGGCCGGAGGGCCUCGGUGCCAGGCGGCGCUCGCGGUCCUGGCCUCUCUGUGCCGGGCCCGGCCGCCCCCUCUCGGGCUGGACGUGGAGACUUGUCGGAGCUUCGAGCUGCAGCCCCCGGAGCAGAGUCCGAGCGCGGCUGACUCAGGAACCUCUGUCAGCCUCCUCGCCGUGGUAGUUAUUGUGUGUGGCGUGGCCCUGGUGGCAGUUUUUCUCUUUCUCUUUUGGAAGCUGUGCUGGAUGCCCAGGAGGAACAAGGAGGCCUCCAGCCCUUCUUCUGCUAACCCUGCUUCAGAGACCCUCCAUAGUCCCAGCUCCAGAGACAACAUGGCAGAUAAGCUGAAGGACCCCAGUGCCCUGGGCUUCCUGGAGGCGGCUGUGAAGAUCAGCCACACUUCUCCAGACAUCCCAGCCGAGGUGCAGAUGUCGGUCAAAGAGCAUAUCAUGCGUCACACGAGGCUGCAGCGACAGACCACAGAACCAGCGUCGUCCACCAGGCACACGUCCUUCAAGCGCCACCUGCCACGGCAGAUGCACGUCUCCAGUGUAGACUACGGCAAUGAGCUGCCACCAGCGGCUGAGCAGCCCACCAGCAUUGGCCGCAUCAAGCCUGAGCUCUACAAGCAGAAGUCAGUGGACGGGGAUGAUGCCAAGACUGAGGCUGCCAAGAGCUGUGGGAAGAUCAACUUCAGCCUCCGCUAUGACUAUGAGAGUGAGACCCUGAUUGUGCGCAUCCUGAAGGCCUUUGACCUCCCUGCCAAGGACUUUUGUGGAAGUUCUGACCCUUAUGUCAAGAUCUACCUCCUGCCUGACCGCAAGUGCAAGUUGCAGACCAGGGUCCACCGCAAGACCCUGAACCCCACUUUUGAUGAGAACUUCCACUUCCCCGUGCCCUAUGAGGAGCUGGCUGACCGUAAGCUGCAUCUCAGUGUCUUUGAUUUUGAUCGCUUCUCCCGCCAUGACAUGAUCGGGGAGGUCAUCCUGGACAAUCUCUUUGAGGCCUCUGACCUGUCCCGGGAGACCUCCAUUUGGAAGGACAUCCAGUACGCCACCAGUGAAAGUGUGGACCUGGGAGAGAUCAUGUUCUCCCUCUGCUACCUGCCCACAGCAGGCAGGCUCACCCUCACAGUGAUCAAGUGUCGUAAUCUUAAGGCAAUGGACAUCACAGGCUACUCAGAUCCCUAUGUCAAGGUAUCCCUGCUGUGUGACGGGCGGAGACUGAAAAAGAAGAAAACAACUAUCAAGAAGAACACCCUCAACCCUGUCUACAAUGAGGCCAUCAUCUUUGACAUCCCCCCAGAAAACAUGGAUCAAGUGAGCCUGCUCAUCUCCGUUAUGGACUACGAUAGAGUUGGCCACAAUGAGAUCAUAGGCGUCUGUAGAGUGGGGAUCAACGCUGAAGGCCUUGGCAGAGACCACUGGAAUGAGAUGCUGGCAUAUCCACGGAAGCCCAUUGCACACUGGCACUCCUUGGUGGAGGUAAAGAAAUCCUUCAAAGAGGGAACUCCUCGGUUGUGAUUUCACUCACGUGGAUGCUGCAAGCGGAGAGACAGCCACUGGAGUUAGGAUGGCAGGGCCGAGCUGCCAGCUUCGACAGUGAGAGCUCAUGCCCAUCUCCAAAACCACCUCCGACACCAUGAGCCGCACAGCCGAGCCGCACAAACGGGACUCAGCAAUGUUCUUUCCGCACUUGUCAGUCGUCUAAACACAGUGUUUGUGCAGUUAAGGUGACGGCUGCGGCAGCAGCCACUGCCCGCCAGCCCAUGGUCUUCACUGCCCCUGCGCAGGGCGAGGCCGAGACACUUGUCGUUCGUGAUCGGACCUGUCUUAGUCUUUUCUGUCUCCCAAGGUGAUGUUUCUGUGGUUUUGUUUGUUUGUUUGUUUGUUUUUGCUUUGUUUGGGUCUGCUGUCAAGAAAGAAAGAAAAACACAAUGAUUAGAGAGACAAAACAGAGUGGAGAGCCCAGAAGUUGGUUCUGGGAAAUACAGUGUAAAAUAAGCAGUCUUUGGUGACAGGCAGAGUCAAUCUGAAAUUUUGUGCCUCCACCAAGCGCUCACCCCUGGAUAGGGCAGCAGUAGGAUGGAGCCAGGGCCAUAUUUUCAGUGCCCAUCAAGAAUGGGACCUACCAAUCGGGAGCUUUCCUGAGGUGAGUUACUCUUCUUGGAAGCUCUUCGCCGCUGUGACACAAGCCAAGACGUGGUCCUCUUGUCCCGUUGAAAUCAUGAGACCUCUGCCAUGUUUGUGACUCUGUAGGGAGAUCCCUGCUCCCCUCUUUGUUGGCUCUCCCCAACUGGAAGCAUUUUGAUUCCCUGUGGGAACUUUCUCACUUUCAUUAGGAGUGAUCCCACAGAAACUAACCACGCCAUAUGUUUUCCAACACGCCAGUUAAUGAUCAUAUUUGUUUGAAAACACGAUCUUAGUUCUCAAAAAAUAACCUUCAUUGUAAAGAAAGGGGGCACAUAUGUUCCAGAAAGAUCUCUGUGUUAUACAUAGCUUUAUAAUUCCACAAAGUACCAAGCAGCUGUUUAAAAUGCCUAAACAGAGCAAAGAAAAAUCUAGAUAACAUGUUCUUUUCUGAGUGGGGUGUUUUGAAAUCCAAACAUUUCUGAGUCUGCCUGUUGAUGAAGAGCCUCCUCUUAGUUGAAACCCAGUCAGCCAGAGACUAGUUCUGCUCCCACAGACUCUGGGUCAAUGACUCUCCUUAGACUUUAGUUCUAUAAACUAAUAAGUAUUGUGUUGUUUGUUUCAGCCUCAGUGAGAGGCUAUUAGCUUGUUUGUUUUUCUAUUAGGUAUCUACCGUAGGCCAAAUUCAGUUUAGAAAAGAAAAAUGAAUGACUGUACUUAUAAUAGCACAUUCCUACUGAGUGACUAGUGGCCUUUCCACCAUGUCCUGUGAAUAGGGUGAUCUGCUCAGUCUAAAGUCUGAACAGUUCUGGGAAGCACGUGAAAAUGAGUUUCCACUCCAACUUGUGGCUACAACGUACUGAUUUUCAGCACUGUAAGACUUGCAAGGAAGCAAGUCAACUUGGAAAAAUCACCUUCUUUCAAGGACAGAAGGUCAAGAACGCAAAAGCUAUCCUCAUACCUUGUGUCUUACUCUUUACAUAUGUCCCAUGCUAUAGCAGUAGCGAUUUAAUAAAGUAACCCCUAUUUUAAGUCAAGCCACCAUGCUUCUCUGCUGAUCUAACUUCAUGUCUGCUAGCCAGAAGAAUGGUCAGAUUGUACAUGAGUCAACAGGGUAUUGUGGAAACAGAAGCAGUCUACUUUUCUAGUAAAUGUAGAUGAAUUUAGACUCCACUGAAUAUGAGCGUUGGGCUAGGGGCUGGUGUGUAAAGAUUUCCUCUCCAAAUAUCUUACAAUUGAUAAGUCUUUCCAGUCAGGCAGUCCCCUAUUCGGAAGUACUCUUGAGAGGGAGAAAACCCACAAGGUCAUAACAAGAGUCCUAGCGAGCAACCAACUUCAUUGUGUUUCUUGACGAUGAUGGACCGCACUAAGGUGACUAUUGCAGCCACACAGAAGUGCAGCGAGAAAGGGGACAGUUGAGUUUUCCGGGUCAUAGGGAGCAUCCCAUUCUCCCAGAAGUGGGUUCCAAAAGCAUGCCCAGCUGCCACCCCAAACCCUCAGGCAGGGUUUAGACAGGAGGGCGUGGUCUGCAUGAAUUAUGGACUGGCGCUGCCCGUCUGAGAGACUCUUCUAUGUCACAGCUACUCUUUCCCCUAAGUGGACAUCCCAACAGUUUCAGAAGACUGUGCCCUGGUUAUGGCCAGCCCUCUUACCACCCCAGUCAACCGCUUUAGUUCCAUCAGCCUCGGGAUACAUUAGGCAUGGAAGCCCACUCCAGCAAGGCUUUUAGCUCCUGGAUUCCCUCCCCACAAGUCCCCACCAAGGGUAACUGGAUCAGUCCUCCUCAUCCUGCAGCAUGAGUGAUACAAACAGGCUUCUCCUUUCAUUAGCCCAGGAGUCCUCCCUCAUGGAUGAGAACUCACGGAAGCUAUCAUAGAAUAAACUGAGAUUUAACGUGCACUGGCUCAUUGAGUCUCCCUAGUGCAAGAAACCCGUUGGAGAGGGGGUGGGCUUUGCUGAAGUUGUGAUAACCGGGGCCAUUUGCACAUGUUUGCAAAAGACACCAGAUUCUCCUCUCCUUUAUUUCGCAGUGUUUCUUGGCUGAGAGAUGCUCCCCUCCCCCUUUGCACUUACCCAGGAUGUUAAUUAAUUGUAUCAUCAUUUAAAAAAAUUAUGUUGUUAAUUACUGCUUUGUGUCUUCCCACCCCUGUCACAGCCUGGAGUUUUUAUUCAAUUAAAUCUCUGUCUCUUGCCCA